This 148-nucleotide non-coding RNA is filed under the name Gorilla gorilla gorilla (western lowland gorilla). Lineage: Eukaryota; Metazoa; Chordata; Mammalia; Primates; Hominidae. The record is from Rfam by way of RNAcentral.
GCCAGGUGUGGUGGCGCACGCCUGUUGUCCCAGCUACUCCAGAGGCUGAGACAGGAGGAUCACUUGAGCCCAGGAGUUUGAGGCUGCAGUGAGCCAUGAUCAUGCCAUUGCACUCCAGCCUGGGCCAUAGAGCGAGACCCCGUCUCAA